UACGUAGGGUGCAAGCGUUAAUCGGAAUUACUGGGCGUAAAGCGCGCGUAGGCGGCUUUGCAAGUCGGGUGUGAAAUCCCCAGGCUCAACCUGGGAAUUGCAUUCGAGACUGCGUAGCUAGGGUGCGGAAGAGGGAAGCGGAAUUUCCGGUGUAGCGGUGAAAUGCGUAGAUAUCGGAAGGAACACCAGUGGCGAAAGCGGCUCCCUGGGCCAGCACCGACGUUCAGGCACGAAAGCGUGGGGAGCAAACAGG
RNAcentral lists this ribosomal RNA (253 nucleotides) under uncultured bacterium. RNAcentral's name for it is "partial 16S ribosomal RNA". It matches the Rfam family "Bacterial small subunit ribosomal RNA", at positions 524 to 776 of the family's 1533-position model. The record is from RNAcentral.